AAUUUACUUUGCUGUAUGAAACAUAACAGGUUGGGCUACCUCCUCACCAGCCAUAAAGGUUUUCUAGCUAAAUAAUCAUGGGACAAGCUAGUGGUAAAACAGGGUAACAUAUUGUAUACGAAGACUUUUAGGGUGGUUUAACCAGGUUGAACUCCUCGGUUCUAGCCAACGAGUAAAGCCAUUGCCAGUGGUAAUGAAUCAAUUUCACGUUUCCCAAUCGGAGACAUCAUUGCCUUCGAAACACUAAAACGUAUCUUUCAGGGAUAACCCUUAAGGAAAUCCAAUUCUACUUUUGCUACUGUCUAGCUUUUAUGUAAAUUUAAUUUGUAUUUCUUGUAAAACUAUGUGAAAUUUUCACAAAUUGAUUCACGUAUGCUACGCAGUUCCUAUUGAACGAACACGAAGUGAGGAAACGCCUUUUGCAGUUUGAUAAGAUAUAGUUAUAUUUGCCAAACCAAGAACACCACCACGUCUCACGAUAAAUUUACUUGAUAUUCCAGAUAAUAGCAACUGUACUCAGCAGCCUAAUGGCACAUGGCUGCAAUACGGUAAAUAAUCAAUUGCACCUCCUACCAUCCAGCGUGGGACUAGCAUGGUCUCAUUCCAUUUGACCUCCAUUACGUGUAUUUUGGGGAGGCAUUUUUUCUUCUGAAGAAUUCGUAGUGUUAUCAUACGGCCUACAAGAACACUAAAGUUGUCACAUUUGCUGUUAAUAUUUUCUGUCUGCUAGUUUGGUUUCUUCCGCCUGUCGUGAUCUUCUACUCACUUCCACGAAAAAUUGAAACCUUUUGAUCCUCCACGGAAUCAUUCCAAACUUUUGACUGCGCCAUACGUGGGUAUAAUGAUGUGCUGGAAUAGACGUGCUCCAAAAGGGAUUUUGACAAGUUAUUCGGUAGACUACACUGUACACAGGACGAAGCAAUGAUGCAAUUGUUUUGACACUUUUGCAACUUUCCUGGGAUGAUACGGAAUCUUGGAACAUUUGGCGGUUAAAGAAAAUCAUAUUCUGAAGAAGUACGUAUGCCAGCUGUGAUCUCGCCAAUUCAUCAAAUCAAACUGUAAGAAAGAAAUCAAGCAGAAGUUUAGCUUAGUCUGUUAUCAAACACAUGUUUUAUAAUUUAAAUAAUUUGAGAAAUGAUUGUUCUUUCCUUUGAUACUCAAAACCACGUUGUUGUUUGAAAAAGAACGAGGACCGCUUGUCUAGACGAACUCGCAUGUGGCUCAUGAUGUUCUUCCGAUUGAUCUGAAAAUUGAACGAAAAGGCGAAUAUUUGAUCGAAUGCACUGUGGUCAUCUUAGAACAAGUAAUCCAUUGUCAACCUUUGAAAAUUGCUUUUGCAGGCACGAAACAGCUGUGUCAAACAAACGUCGCGGAGAAGAUGUCCAGUGCAUUUUAAUAGUGAUCUUUGAAAAAACUUGGUAAGAGCAGACGUCGGGCUAAAGAAGCACGGACUAGUGUUGUGAAAGAACCAGUGCUUUCAGUGGUAGCAAGACAACUGUAGAGCAGUGACCUAGUAAUACGUAUUUAUACCUUUUUUCGUUGAAAAAGGGAAUUUGCCUCACUUCGUGUAACACAGUUUCAUGAAAUUGUGCUAGGGGGCUUUAAAAAUUCCCAUGCACGCUAUAGUUGGGCCCAAAAGGCUGGCAGAUAGCGGAUCAGUGGGCAAGUCGACAACAUGUUCGAGUUUUUUUAGUUUUUUUUGCGUCGGGCAAUGGACGUCCUCCCACGACCGCACAGAGAAACUUCCCACUCUGUUUAGAAUUUUGCGUUCGGAACGUCAUGGCUUUAGAAGACAUCUUGAUGCCGUCGUCAGCUUCAGCUGCGUUACUAUUGUCUUUCUUGGAAUACAGAAUACAUAAUUGGUUGUCGAAAAUCAGGUCCGCGAUAGCCCGUAAAAAGUGGUCCAUUGCUAAGUCUUGUUACCAUCCCUUGUGUGUUAUGAAAUAAUAAGAUUUAGUGAAGAAACCUAAAUCUUUUUUCUCCCUUCUUACCUAAUAUACUCACUGUUUGUCUAUGCGGUAUGCAACAGUGACAGCUGAAUACUAAAGCCUUUUUUUCAUAAGUAGGAUUUUAUAUCAUAAAAGAUUGUCAGAUGAAUUAAGCGGAACGGUUGGUUUUUAGCUACUGGGGAAUUUUAUUGUCAUAAGACGUUUCUUCAAGACAUUUUUUAUUGUACUGAAUAAUCGUCAUGUUUGAAAUAGAAAACUGAAACCCCCUGUUUUCUUUCUGACCUGGAAUUCAGCUUAUGUCCAAUAUGGCAUUAUGACAUACCGUAACUCAUAAAAACUAUCCCAUUUGGAAAUAAACGUGGUCGAUUUCGUGCCGUUACUUCCAAAUAAUCGACCGCAAAUAGCUUUCGAUCCAUCAACCUACUUUAAGUAUAUGAAACUGCUGGGUUUCCAAACUUGCAGAACGCACGAUACAAUUUAAUCGAUUUUAUCAACUCGACUGUGACAUUGCUUAGUAGGAAAUCAAGAGAAUUAAAGCGAAUGUAACUGAGACCAUUUGAAGCUAGAAUCGAAGUUUUAUUUUAUAGGCUGGUAAACAAGGGAGGCAAGUUAAUUACAAAACAAAGCCGAGCGUUUAUUAAUUGAGGCAAACAGUAAAAAAUA
Molecule: long non-coding RNA, 2612 nt
Filed under: Daphnia magna
Lineage: Eukaryota; Metazoa; Arthropoda; Branchiopoda; Diplostraca; Daphniidae
Description: uncharacterized LOC116930675
Source: RNAcentral